AUACGGAGGGUGCGAGCGUUAAUCGGAAUUACUGGGCGUAAAGCGCGCGUAGGCGGUUUGGUCAGUCGGAUGUGAAAGCCCCAGGCUCAACCUGGGAAUGGCAUUCGAUACUGCCUGACUAGAGUAUGGUAGAGGGAAGUGGAAUUUCCGGUGUAGCGGUGAAAUGCGUAGAUAUCGGAAGGAACACCAGUGGCGAAGGCGACUUCCUGGGCCAAUACUGACGCUAAGGUGCGAAAGCGUGGGGAGCAAACAGGAUUAGAAACCCGUGUAGUCC
Molecule: ribosomal RNA, 274 nt
Filed under: uncultured bacterium
Lineage: Bacteria
Description: partial 16S ribosomal RNA
Rfam family: Bacterial small subunit ribosomal RNA
Source: RNAcentral